This 6405-nucleotide long non-coding RNA is filed under the name Homo sapiens (human). Its description in RNAcentral is "long non-coding RNA NONHSAT173338.1". Lineage: Eukaryota; Metazoa; Chordata; Mammalia; Primates; Hominidae. The record is from RNAcentral.
UUUCCUACAGUUGUGGAAGUGAAGAGUCUGAAAUGGACCCAUAGGACUGUAUUUCUUCUGGAGGCUCUAGGGGAGAAUCUGUUUGCUUACAUUUCCCAGCUUCUGGAGGCCACCUGAAUUAUUUGGCUUGCAGCCCCUUCCCCAUAGCCAAAGCCUCCUGACCUUUCUGCCCACCUCUUUUGUCAAAGACCCUUGUGAUUGAUUGUAUCCACCUGCAUAAUCCAGGUUAAGCUCCUCAUCUCAAAGUUCUUCAUAUCUGAAAAUUUUUUUUUGUCAUGUAAGAAAAUACAAGUUCUGGGGAUUAGGAUUUGGACACUUUGAGGGAUCAAACCACACUUCCCAACUUCAUUAUAAAUUUUGCAAGAGCAAGGUCUAACUACCAUUGCCAAGUACGGUAUCUGGAACAUUGUGUGUGUGUGUGUGUGUGUGUGUAAGUGUAAAUAUGUUCAAUAAAUGAACAAACAAACAACGUAAUCUCUUUAUCAGAAAGAAAGCACCUUGCAGAAGAAACCACAUACCCACAGCUUACUAAGCAACUAUGUAGCCCAUAUAUUUUUGGACACUACGAUUACCACUCCUCUUAUACCAACUAUAAAGAGAGGGAGAACUACAGCCCCUAAUUAGCCUGUCCUCUUUGUAAGGUUUGUGAAUGCGUCUGUCUGGGCUCUGGCCUGCCUUCUCUUUCCUUCCACCAGGCUUGUUCAGCAUCACUGUUGCCAGUCCUUGAUUGAUAACUCACACAUUGAAUUGAUCAUAUCCUUGAAUUAGAAGGCAGAUGUCACAUGAACAGGAAUCCAGGCAAAUCAAGGCAAACCCCUUGGAAGUGGCCACAGUAUUUGGUCUGACCCCAUGGCAGCACUUUCAAAAAGUUGUUUAUUUUUUUCUCUGAGGAUGUUGGGUGGAACAGCAGAGAUUAAUAGGUUUCCACAAGCCACAGUGGCCAUUUUUCAGAUCAUGGGUUCAUAUACAUCGAAACAUACAUACACACACACACGCAUAUUUAUGUAUAAUCUUUUUUAAGGCAUACAACAAAAAUCUCAUGUUGAGAGCUGUUCACCCAUCAGUAAAUUUCAAUAUAUAUAUUCAUAAAUCGUGCAUCAUUCAAGAAUGCUUUGGAGCUGAGUGGGUAUUAAAGUCACCAAAUCCAAUUCCCUGAUGUCUCUAGCCCCUUCUAUUCUCACUGAGGAAUCUGGGGUCCAGAGCAUGGAAUUUGUCACAGGCCUACCCAUGUGCUGGUGGCAGGGAAAAUAAUUUGAUUCCCUAGGUCUGUGCUUUUUCAAUAGCCACAGUUUCUAGAAAUGAUUCCUAGAAUUUUGUUCCUUAGGUUUCUCAUAUUCUGAUCUUGUUGUGAAUUUGGAUUUAGAGUCUAACAAACAAAUCUAGAUGAAAAGCUUGGUCCUACUCACUUCCAGUGCUUUUGGCACUGACCAAGUUAACUUCUCUGACCACUUUUUCUUCAUGUGUAAAAGAAAAGAGAGGCGGCCGGGCAUGGUGGCUCCUAGCACUGUAAUCCUAGUACUUUGAGAGGCCAACGCUGGUGGAUCACUUGAGGUUAGCAGUUCAAGAGCAGCCUGGCCAACAUGGUGAAACCCCAUGUCUAUUAAAAAUACGAAAAUUAGCUGGGCGUGGUGGCGCGUGCCUGUAGUCCCAGCUACUCAGGAGGCUGAGGCAGGAGAAUCGCUUGAACCCGGGAGGCGGAGGUUGUAGUGAGCUCAGAUGAUGCCACUGCACUCCAGGCUGGGCGACAGAGAGUGAGACCUGGAGAGGGGAGGGGAAGGGGAGGGAAGGAAGAAAAAAAAAGGGAAAACAGAGGGAGAGAAUAUUAGCUUUCUCAUGUGCUUGUUGCAAGGAUUAAAUGAGACAAUGCUUGCAGAAUCACAUUUUACUGUAUUUAUUGACAGAGCAUUCUGUCUCCCUCCUCUCCUUCCUUCCCCUUUGUGUCUGCCUCUUUGGAGACCUGUUCUUCUCUCUGCAGUAUGUCAGUUCAUCGCCACGCAAUAUAUAUCAAGGACUACCAUGAGUCAGAGACUCUGCCAGCACUGGGCAAAGAAGGAAGAAGGCCUUGUCUGGGACAUCAUGGUGCUUAAAGUCUAGAGAAGUGUCCAGAGAAGUCAACAAGUGGGAAGGUAUGGUGGGUCAGGGUGAUUCAGGAGGCACAGCUGGGCCAUAGGAGAGAGAACCCGGCCUAACUUAGGCACCAGAAAGCAUCUAGUAAUAAAAGUGAUAUCUGUGCUGACACCUAUGGAACAUGCAAGUAUUAGCAUAGGAGACCAGGACAGUGUUCCCAGCAAUGGGACAGGUAUGAGUGAAAACCAAGAGGUGAAUGGCACAGACCACGGAAGGGUGGAGAGAGAGGUUUAAUUGUGACUGGAUCUUGAGUUAUGGUGUGGGGCUAAAAGGCAAGACUCAGAGUGGGCAGGGGAGAAUGCAGCAGGAUUGAGAGACCAGGCCUAGGGUAGGGAAGGAAAAGAGAUCCAUAUCCCCUGAGGUCGGUCCAUUCCUGCACCUGACACUGAGCUGGGCCUUGAGGAUGUAGCAGGGGAGGAAACAGAGCAGCUCCCUGAUUCCAUGGCCUUCCAGUCUCUCAGGGAGCAAAGCAAGAGGCAUGGCUAGCAUAUAUGAGGAACUCCAAGCAUAGGAGUUACCAGGGAAUCAAGUGUGGGGCUCUGGAUCACAGACCACAGGAGAGACAGAGAUUUCCAGUAGAGCCCAGCUCCUCAGGCUGCCCUGGAACUUUACAGUGGUCCAUGGUAUAUGGCCUCCCUGGGCUCUUACAUCAGGGCUCACAGAGUCAGGAAUGUGGGCUUUUCAAUAAAAGUGCAGGCAAAGGGCCCACAGGGAGCCCUGGCUCAAAUGAGCUUUUAUAUUUUUAUGUGGAACAUAAUCACGUUUAGCCAUGAUCGAGGCUGCCCGUUACUGCUAUUAGAGCGUUUAUGGUUCUAAGGGGGAUAUGAGACUUUGACAGUACGUGCUUGCAACUAAAAGCAACGGGGUGUGCUGAGGCUAGAAGCCACCUUGAAAUGCCAGGAACACAGAACUUAGGCUGAUGUGCAUUGCCUUUGAAAGCUGGACUGACAGGGCUCGGUGUUCACAGGUUCCAGAGAGGGUCCUCUCAGGAGGGACAGUGGGGUCAUAAAAGUAAUAACCACCCAAUAUAUGUAGGUUCUUUGCAUGCUUUAUUUAUCAUCUUCAGGAUCCCUAAAGGUCUUUCCCAUUCAUUAGGCCUGUUUUCCAUGUGUUGAAACCCAGGCUCAGAGAGCUUAGUGGUUUCUCCCAGAGGACAUAGUCAGCAAGUGUGUUAGUUUCUUGUGCCUGCCAUAACAAAUCACCACAAACCGGGUGGCUUAAAGCAAUAGAAACUUACUCUUUCUCAUUUCUCAGAGGCCAGAAGUCUCAAAUUAAGGUGUGGGCAGCGUUGGUUCCUUCUGGGACCCUAAAGAAGAAAUUGUCCCUUAGCUCCUAUGGCUGCUGGCACUCCUCCGCGUUCCCUUGGCUUGCAGGUGCGUCACCCUAUCUGCUCCUCCCUCCUCACGUGGCUUCUCUCUGCGUCCCUGUAUCUUCUGUAUCUUCUCUUCUUCUUUUAAGGAUGCCAGCCAUAGAAUUUGGGCCCACCUUCAUGUGGGAUAAUUUCAUCUUGAGAUUCUUAGCUGAGAUUCUUAACUGACUGCCUACAAAGGCCCUCUUUCCAAACAAGCUUACCUUCUGGGAUUCUAGGUAAACAUGAAUUUGGGGAGGACACUAUUCAACCAUGACAGUAAGUAAUGGAGACAGGGACUGAGCCAGGCCUGUCUUGGUGCAGCCACCCACACACAGCACACAUGGUUGGAUGAUGCUUCAUUUGCUCACAGCCCCUCUGCUUCCCUGUGCUCCAGAGCCCCCCCACAGCUUUGUCUUACUUCCUCACUGCAAGCUGGCUCCAAACCACUUCUCUCUAGCACAGACCAGGUCUCUGCAGAACUCUCCUUAGCCAGGGACAUAGCCCUGAAAGAGUCACAAAGCCACCAGAAACCCUAUAGGGAAACACCAUGGUACAGAAAAGAAGCGAACCCUACUGCUCUUGGAAUGUGACUCAACACUGAGUCUUAGCUCUGCUUCUCAUAAGCUAGUGACUUUGGGUAAGUUCCCUCACCUCUCUGAGCCUCAUUUUCCCUAUCUGUAAAUUGGGUACAACAUCCAUUAGGUGUGCUUUUUGGAAAUAAGUAGGUUAAAGAGCACACAGCUUCUGAAGGUUCCUGGCAAAGAGUAGGUGCUCAUCAGAUGUUUGCUGCAUUUGAAUCUAUUUGCUUCUCUCAGUGACAGAGGGGGAAAGUGUGACCCCUAAAAAGAGAAAGGUUAUUUGGGCUCCGUCAAGUACAAGAUAAUAUAUGGGAGUAGCUGUAGAUAUAAAUGUACAUGUAUCAGGCACAAGCAUACAUAUAUACACAUGCAUAUACCCCAAAUGUGUUGAAUCAUUGUUCUGUGGAAAUAUCUAUGCCCCAUUUAUCGACCCAUCCAUCCAUCUCUUCAGUUGAGAGCCUAUGCUAUGUAUCAGAUCCCGUGUAAAUGCUGCACUUACUUAUAGUAAGUAAGUGCAUUUAAUCUUCACACCUAACCUUGAGGUCUCUAGUUUCAUAUCCUAUUGUACUGACAAAUAAACAUAACUUCCCCAAGUUGACUCACCCAGAAAGUGUCUGGGGAGCAGACAGCAUGUGCAGUUACCUCUUCCUGGCUGGGUCAGGAAAAAGUUGAGGGAAAAGGUGGCAUCUGAGUGGUGCCUUGGAAAGGCAGCAGCCACACAGCUCAUGAAUCAUCUGUGGCUCACUAUGCGGUGGAGGGAACAUGGGAAACAGAGCCAGAUAAAUUCAAGUUUGUGCUCUGGCUCUGCUGCCGGCUGGCUCUGUGACGUUGAGGUACUGACUAUAUCUUUCUGUGCCUUUAUUUAUUUUGCAUAUGUUAAAAGUGGAUGAGGCAGGAUAUGGUGGUUCACACCUAUAUUCCCAGGGUUGGAGGAUUGCUUGAGGCCAGGCUGGGCAAUGUGGCAAGACCCCAUCUCUACAAAUUUUUUUUAAGUUAGCGGUUGGGGGGUGCUGUAGUCCUUGCUACCGGGGGAGGCUGAGGCUGGAAGAUCACUGGAGUCCAGCAGUUUGAGGCUGCAGUGAGCUAUGAUCACACCACUGCAGUCCAGCCUGGAUGACCAAAUAAGAUCGUGAAGACCACGUGACACAGAAAUAGUGAACCCAAGAUGUAAGACUAGAGUCCCUUACAUCUUUCCUCCUGCGAUGAAAUAUGUUCACUCUUAGAGUCUUGGAUCCCAAGAACUAACAUUUGUCUUUACCAAGUAUUCUAGUUUCAUAUCGUACCAAACUACAUCCAAACUCAAUGGCUUUAAAUAAAAGGUCAUUUUAUUUUGUUCACAACUUUGUAGAUGAAGAAUUCAGGAUGCGUUUAGUUGAGUGAUUCAUCUCUAAUGGAGAGUGAUGCCUCAUGGACAGCAGACACUGGAGGGUCACUUCCAAGGUGGCAUUUCUUCUCACAAGCCUGGGCUGGGAAGGCUGACUGCGGAUGCUGCAUCCUGACUUUGGAGCCAUUAAACAGACCAUCUACAAGUGGUUUCUCCUUGGCACUCGGCCACCUGGAGUGUAGCAGGCACACAUACAUGUUCUCUGAACGCCUCAGCUCAGCAAGGGGAGUCUGGAAAGAGAAAAACCUGCCUUUGGAUUGAAACCUGCCUUUGAAAUCUGGCUCUGCCCUUUUUGAAUUGGGCAGGCUGUGUGUCCUUGGUUUCUUCUCGUCUGUAAAAUGGCUCUAAUUACGCUUCCUCAAGAGAUUUUUGUGAAGGCUCAGUAUACACAUAUAUGCAAAUAACACAGGAUGCUGCAUUAAAUCCUCAUUUCUUUUCACUCUUCUUCUCCCCAACAGCAGAAGCUAGGGGUGAGAGAAGGCUUUGUGGUGAUGUUCAAAGCUCAUGUCAGGGUAACCAGGACUUACUGAGGUUUUGCAGUGUUUUAAGUAUUUUUCAUGGGCUCUGUGAAUACCAAAAUAAAGGAGACAAAGUAUCUGCUAGGACUUGUGCUUCUCAAAUGAUCUGAUAAAACACCGAAUUUUCUUUUUCUUUUUUUCCCAGCUCAUUGUAUUUCCAAUGAAUACUAAUUAUGAGAAUGUGAUAUGACAAAAAGAAUAAAAUGCAAGAUGCAAGCCCAGCCUUUUUUUUUUUUUUUUUUUUUUUUUUUUUUUUUUUUUGAGGCAGAGCAUAGUCUUGUUUCUGUACAUAGCAUGUCCCUUGAGUAGCAAUGAUACAUUCUUUGGAUCAAAUUCACAGGUCAUUUCUGCAAAGUUUUGCAUGACACUGAGAGAAGGAGCAACCAAAGGACUGCAAACAGUUGCAUAAGUAAAAGUGAGACAUAAAACUUCAUAGCAACCUCAAAU